CACAUGCAAGUCGAGGGGCAUCAGUUUGGUUUGCUUGCAAACCAAAGCUGGCGACCGGCGCACGGGUGAGUAACACGUAUCCAACCUGCCUCAUACUCGAGGAUAGCCUUUCGAAAGAAAGAUUAAUAUCCGAUAGCAUAUAUUUCCCGCAUGGGUUUUAUAUUAAAGAAAUUCGGUAUGAGAUGGGGAUGCGUUCCAUUAGUUUGUUGGCGGGGUAACGGCCCACCAAGACUACGAUGGAUAGGGGUUCUGAGAGGAAGGUCCCCCACAUUGGAACUGAGACACGGUCCAAACUCCUACGGGAGGCAGCAGUGAGGAAUAUUGGUCAAUGGACGCGAGUCUGAACCAGCCAAGUAGCGUGAAGGAUGACUGCCCUAUGGGUUGUAAACUUCUUUUAUAUGGGAAUAAAGUGGUCCACGUGUGGAUUUUUGUAUGUACCAUAUGAAUAAGGAUCGGCUAACUCCGUGCCAGCAGCCGCGGUAAUACGGAGGAUCCGAGCGUUAUCCGGAUUUAUUGGGUUUAAAGGGAGCGUAGAUGGAUGUUUAAGUCAGUUGUGAAAGUUUGCGGCUCAACCGUAAAAUUGCAGUUGAUACUUGAUAUCUUGAGUGCAGUUGAGGCAGGCGGAAUUCGUGGUGUAGCGGUGAAAUGCUUAGAUAUCACGAAGAACUCCGAUUGCGAA
Molecule: ribosomal RNA, 679 nt
Filed under: uncultured bacterium
Lineage: Bacteria
Description: bacterial SSU rRNA
Rfam family: Bacterial small subunit ribosomal RNA
Source: RNAcentral